Molecule: long non-coding RNA, 1325 nt
Organism: Betta splendens (Siamese fighting fish)
Lineage: Eukaryota; Metazoa; Chordata; Actinopteri; Anabantiformes; Osphronemidae
Exons: 3
Source: RefSeq, a predicted model, not a curated record
AGCCGUUGGCAGCUCAGCUUCUUGGCUUUGUUGGGCGGAAGACGUAAUGUCUGCUCACCCUCUGCCUUUAAGUGUGACUAAUGAACCAACAACUAAAUUGUCGUCCGGUUCACAGGCCGUAAAUUGCCGUUUCGUACAAAUACGUUUCCGCAUGCUGUAAACAACUGUCUUUAUCGUCAACUCUGCGUCUCCCUUGCUAAUACUGGCGCGCGUGCCUCCCGUGGUUGUGCCACUAGAUGGUGCUAACAAGCUAGCUUUGGAUGCUAGUCACCUGCUCAGCCUCAGCUUCAGCAGACACGAGGGUUCUCUAAGGAAGUCGGGCCUAAUGCUAGAGCUCUGCAUGAUUGGGGGCAGCAGUGGCUCGAGAGGUACCAAAGAGCAGUCACCCACCAAUCAUUCGGUUCGAAUUCUGGCUGUGGUCAUGCAUCAAAGUGUCCUUGGGAUUGUCCUUGGGCACGCCACUGAAUCCCAAGUUGCUGGUCAGUAAUGUUUGUGUUUUAUGUUCAAACACUGAUGCAUUGCAUGUUGUCCUUAUUUACAUAUACAAAUGCAGAUAAAUGCAUUUGUGCAAUUUUCAGGCCAUCUGUUGUUUCUGUUCAUUGUGAUAUGUGCUAAUGUUAAAAUACACAUAGCAUAAUUGUGAAUAUUUGCAUUAGCAUGCCUUUGUCUGGAACUGAUUGCAUUGUAUCUUUUAGGUGGUGCAAGUUUGGCACUUGACUUGUUUGACACAAGCACACACCACAUGCACACAUACGCACACACUUGCACCCAUGUCUGUGUUGUCCUUGCACCAGUUUGGUUUGGCAUAUUGAGAAUGUGGCAUAUGCAGACUGUGAAGGAGGCAUGUCAGCAGUCCUGUAAUCUGUAAUGUCAUAGCUGGUGUUAAAGUAUUGCAGGUUUUUUUUUGUUUUGCAAAGUUGUGUUUUUUCAGCGUUUUGGUCAGGAAAUAAAAUAAAUAUAACACAGAACGUGCACUACAUUAUACAAUUACAAUCACAUUAAAAUGUUAUCAUUUUACUAUGUUUUAAUAUAUUUAGGAUUAUUUUGGAAAUAUUGAAAAGAAAAAAGAAAUGAAUGAAUAUUCUUGGCCUUAUGUCCAGUGCUAAAGUAAAUAAGACUGCAUUAAUGUUGAGUUCAUUACAGAAACAUGUUAUUACCACAGACAUCUUCUCAUUUCACAUCUCGUUUUGAAAUGUACAUGCAGCUUUGUGCACGGUAAAAUAGUGGUUAUAACAAUACCAUGAAAUGCAUCUUUGACUGAAUACGCUCUUAUGUAAGUGUUUGUGUUACUGAAUAUAGUAAAGUGUCAUGCGUUGAUGACUGGA